Quercus robur (English oak) is the source of this 2942-nucleotide long non-coding RNA. RefSeq lists it as uncharacterized. NCBI's taxonomy places the organism in Eukaryota, Viridiplantae, Streptophyta, Magnoliopsida, Fagales, Fagaceae. The transcript is spliced from 4 exons. The record is from RefSeq and is a predicted model, not a curated record.
AACUCGUCCUCUAAAAGAUCUUAUAUUUACACCUGUUUUAUCAUAAUUGGUUGGGGUUAAUGGGUUUGUCUGGGGAGUGUAGGAAUUGUGGCAACGAAUCUAUACAUAUAUAUAUGUAUAUAUAUUAUUUGAGAAGAAGGCAAAUGCAAUGGAUAAGUACAGACACAUUUUUGUUUAUUGCUAGUGAAUGUGAUUGGCAGAAGGAAUUAAUUGAUGGAGUAAAACAAAACACUAUUCACUGCUACAGCCUACAGCCUUUCUCUGUUUCUGUCUAGGGCAGAGAGCAGCAAUCCUUCUCUAUCUCUUCUGUUGCCCAAAAAUCGUUCAUACUUGAAAAAUUCAAAUCAAUCCCAGCCCAAAUCGCCUUUUUCUUCUCUUUUUUAUUUUUUAUUUUUUUAAUAACAAAACAGAAAGAGUAGGUUACACAUUAGGUGGCACAGCCCUGUCAUAGUGCAUAGGCGUGUUGGGAUUCAUAUCCCGUGCAAUACCUAGGGUAUUGCAUGAUGUGCCAUUGCUUUAAUCCUAGCCAUUCAAUUGAUCUAAUGCUCAAAAAUUGGACAGCUCAAUAAACACGUCAGCGAUCCGUGUGAGCCCUCAUUUUUCUCUGUUCUUUUAAUUUCUCCUCUCUCUCUUCUUCACGCUUACCCCUAUUCAAAAAUUUCAGAAACACUCUGGCUCUCUCUCUUCUAGCCGAACAUGCCUCAGAGUCUCUCUCUCUCAUGCCUCAAAAAAAAGCCACCAGUGAUUCUCCGGUUACCUCUCCACCGAAGAAUGAAUGUGAACCAACAGUGUUUCAGCUACCCACCCAAAUGUGAUUAGAUCUGCCAAAUACCAACAGAAGUAACCACAAGCAUGAAGCCAGAAGAAACCAACACAGCCAGAAAUAAUCAAAGCAAAGAGAGCCAAAAAAAAACAAAGAGGGCAUUAGCUGGGUAAACCCGAAAUUCCUCUUUUAUUUUUCUAUAGCUCUAUCUACAUUUUUUGUACACAAUACACACACCAUCACGGAGUCACAGCACCCACAUUCUACUUCUAAUCUACUCACACAUACAUGCGCUAUGCUCACCUGGACACAUAACACAAUAGCACAAAAAGCUCCAUAGCUUACUCCCUGUUUGAGAUUAUGCGUUUGAGAGAGUAGCUUUUGGUUUGGGUUUAGAGAGAGAGAGAAAGUGAGAGUAUGAGGAAGGCCGUUUGGGUCUGCGGUGCUAGAGGAGGUGCAACCACCAUCCGUGGUGGCGAUGAAGAUCGAAGAUGGAGGAAGCUUGAGCUUCGGCCAGUGCGUUUUUGCAGAGAGAGCUCGGGUUGAGAGACCGGGUUAAGGAGAAGGAAUAUAGGAAACGGUCCAGGUCAGACCCGACCCAGUGAUGUGGGUUCCUUACCCGUUUAGUCUUGUGUAGGAUUUGAUCCAACCCAGCUCAGUGGGCUUCUCUUAGCCCAUUAGCUAUAGAGCCUUAGGCCCCUUCUGUUUUAGCCCAAUCCGAAGGUAACUCUAAUAGGCAUCCAGCCCCAGCUCAUCACUCCUUUAAUGUUAGCCCAGAUCCGAACCUACACAGGGUCUAGGCCCUUACACUUUGGAUAUAAACCCAUAACUCUUUUUAAUACAUGUUUCAGCCCACCUUUUAAAUAAAAAGGGCCCAUCGGCAUGUUUUCCUUUUAAUUAAUAAAAUGCCAUCAUGUUUUCUUGCAUGUUCAUAUUUUAAUCCAUGCUUUGUCAUAUUUGCAUUAUGCCAUGGAAUUUUCUCAUAUUUAUAUAUUGGUCAUAAGCUUGUCAUAAUUGCAUUUUGACCAUAAAAUUUCCCAAAAUCAUGUUUUAAUCCCAAAUAUUACCAAAAAUCAUAUUUUGACCUUGAUUUUCCUCCAAAAUUGCAUUUUGACCCAGAAAAUUCUCAAAAUCAUCUUUUAAUCCCAAAAAUUCCUAAAAAUGAUAUUUUUGCGCCAGUUUUCCUCAAAAAUUGUAUUUUAACCCAAAAUAUUGCCAAAAUCAUGUUUUAAUCCCAAAAUUCUAAAAAAUUAUAUUUUGACCUGGUUUUUCCCCAAAAAAAAAACAUUUUGACCGAAAGCUUUCACAAACUCAUGUUUUGAACCCCAAACUUUUACAAAAUUACAUUUUGGCCCCUAGUAUCACCAAAUUCCCUUUUCAAUUUCUUUGAACGAAUGAAGUGUCUAGUUGCUUAAUAAAUUUUAUUGCUGAUAGAUCAAAAUGGGAUAACAUAUUAUUUGGAAUUCGCAUGUUUAUCCAUAUCCCAAUCAAGCUAACUCCCCCUCCCCUUGCACUAAUGUUUUGGUUCGUUAUGUUUGUGCAUGAGAAUGAGAAAAUGAAGAAUAAAGUUGUUGAAAGUUCAUCAUAUCCAGAGGGCAGUAGAGUAAAGUGCAUCUAUUCAGGACCACAUCUUCUGAUCUAACCACUGGGGAAUAUUUCAUUCACGAAAUAAGGGAUGAGUGUUCAUUGUUCAUUAAAGGGUUGCAAUUUCAAGGAUGGUUAUAAUAUGUUAUAUGUAUUUGGGAUGGACGCUUCACUUUUGCUAUUUGUUUUUGGUGCAGUUAGAUAGAACUUAGAUUAACUACUUGAACUGGUGGGAUUGUAAUUAUAUAUCCCCUGAUGAAGGAAUUGAACUUCUUGGUUUAUUUAAAAUCAUUAUGGAUAUCAAGUGAUGUAAGGCUACAUUGAAAAAAUCAUUAUAUAUUUUUUCAAGUACUGUUUCAGCAUUUACAUUUUGAAGUCAUAUUGUAUUUGUGGAUAAAUAUUUGUUCACCUUAUUUUCCCAGAUAGAGUUUUCUUCCAUGUUAUGGGGACCCCUUGAAUCAAUAAUUGUAUUACCUAACCGAGUGUGAAUUUUACGAUAACCACUGCGUCAUGUUAGUCUUGAGGCAUUUGAUAUGUUGUACGGGUUUAUUGUCCCAUGAUAUAAUAGCAUCAUAUUUUGAAUUUUUAGCUAAAA